RNAcentral lists this ribosomal RNA (253 nucleotides) under uncultured bacterium. RNAcentral's name for it is "partial 16S ribosomal RNA". It matches the Rfam family "Bacterial small subunit ribosomal RNA", at positions 524 to 776 of the family's 1533-position model. The record is from RNAcentral.
UACGAAGGGUGCAAGCGUUUAUCGGAAUUACUGGGCGUAAAGCGCGCGUAGGUGGUUCAGUAAGUUGGAAGUGAAAUCCCCGGGCUCAACCUGGGAACUGCUUUCAAAACUGCUGAGCUAGAGUACGGUAGAGGGUGGUGGAAUUUCCUGUGUAGCGGUGAAAUGCGUAGAUAUAGGAAGGAACACCAGUGGCGAAGGCGACCACCUGGACUGAUACUGACACUGAGGUGCGAAAGCGUGGGGAGCAAACAGG